This 264-nucleotide ribosomal RNA is filed under the name uncultured archaeon. Its description in RNAcentral is "partial 16S ribosomal RNA". It matches the Rfam family "Archaeal small subunit ribosomal RNA", at positions 719 to 982 of the family's 1478-position model. The record is from RNAcentral.
AGUCACUGACAUUAGAUACCCGGGUAGUCCCAGCCGUAAACAAUGUGCGUUAGGUGUGUCGGUAACCACGCGUUACUGAUGCGCCGAAGAGAAAUCGUGAAACGCACCACCUGGGAAGUACGGUCGCAAGGCUGAAACUUAAAGGAAUUGGCGGGGAGCACCACAACAGGUGGAGCCUGCGGUUUAAUUGGAUUCAACGCCGGACAUCUCACCGGAUAAGACAGCUGAAUGAUUGUCAAUCUGAAGGUUUUACAUGACUGGCUG